ACACUUACCUGGCAGGGGAGAUAUCAUAAUCAUGAAGGUGGUUUUCCCAGAGCGAGACUUAUCCACUAUAUUCCGGGUGUGCUGACCCCUGAGAUUUCCUCAAAUGUCGGAAAUUUGGGAGAAAAAAAAGAAACAAUCUAAAAACAUAAGGUC
RNAcentral lists this small nuclear RNA (153 nucleotides) under Propithecus coquereli (Coquerel's sifaka). RNAcentral describes it as "U1 spliceosomal RNA (ENSPCOG00000026988.1)". It matches the Rfam family "U1 spliceosomal RNA". From Rfam's summary of the family: U1 is a small nuclear RNA (snRNA) component of the spliceosome (involved in pre-mRNA splicing). Its 5' end forms complementary base pairs with the 5' splice junction, thus defining the 5' donor site of an intron. Lineage: Eukaryota; Metazoa; Chordata; Mammalia; Primates; Indriidae. The record is from RNAcentral.